RNAcentral lists this small RNA (127 nucleotides) under Marmota monax (woodchuck). Lineage: Eukaryota; Metazoa; Chordata; Mammalia; Rodentia; Sciuridae. The record is from RNAcentral.
GCUGGGCGCGGUGGCGCUCGCCUGUGAUCCCAGUGGCCUGGGAGGCUGCGGCAGGAGGAUUGUGAGUUCAAAACCAGCCUCAGCAAUUUACCCAGGCCCUAAGCAACUCAGUGAGACCCUGUCUCUA